This 196-nucleotide small RNA is filed under the name Ectopseudomonas guguanensis. RNAcentral describes it as "Pseudomonas guguanensis Pseudomonas sRNA P16". It matches the Rfam family "RgsA sRNA". From Rfam's summary of the family: P16 sRNA appears to be conserved across several Pseudomonas species and Azotobacter vinelandii. In these species it is consistently located downstream of a predicted TatD deoxyribonuclease gene. P16 has a predicted Rho independent terminator at the 3' end but the function of P16 is unknown. Lineage: Bacteria; Pseudomonadati; Pseudomonadota; Gammaproteobacteria; Pseudomonadales; Pseudomonadaceae. The record is from RNAcentral.
CAGCAGCGUCCGUGGUAUUCCAAAUCCGUUUAAAAAACUCGGACUUUGGCCUGGACGCUUGCUGAUCAUGGCCAAUACUAAAACUUACUGGCGUGCGGCAUCUCCCCCCAAGUGCCCCGCCAGCCAAGGUACCGUGGACCGCGUAUCUUGAUUUACUCCUAAUGGUCUUGACCCGGAUUCAUCCCCCAGAGUCCGG